RNAcentral lists this ribosomal RNA (1841 nucleotides) under Dictyochaeta stratosa. RNAcentral's name for it is "partial large subunit ribosomal RNA". It matches the Rfam family "Eukaryotic large subunit ribosomal RNA", at positions 1 to 1875 of the family's 3401-position model. The record is from RNAcentral. Lineage: Eukaryota; Fungi; Ascomycota; Sordariomycetes; Chaetosphaeriales; Chaetosphaeriaceae.
UUGACCUCGGAUCAGGUAGGAAUACCCGCUGAACUUAAGCAUAUCAAUAAGCGGAGGAAAAGAAACCAACAGGGAUUGCCCCAGUAACGGCGAGUGAAGCGGCAACAGCUCAAAUUUGAAAUCUGGCCCCAGGCCCGAGUUGUAAUUUGCAGAGGAUGCUUCGGGCGCGACGCCUUCCAAGUCCCCUGGAACGGGGCGCCUUAGAGGGUGAGAGCCCCGUACGGUUGGACGUCAAGCCUGUGUGAAGCUCCUUCGACGAGUCGAGUAGUUUGGGAAUGCUGCUCAAAAUGGGAGGUAGACCCCUUCUAAAGCUAAAUACCGGCCAGAGACCGAUAGCGCACAAGUAGAGUGAUCGAAAGAUGAAAAGCACUUUGAAAAGAGGGUUAAACAGCACGUGAAAUUGUUGAAAGGGAAGCGCUCGUGACCAGACUUGCGCCGGGGCGAUCAUCUGGCGUUCUCGCCGGUGCACUCGCCCCGGCUCAGGCCAGCGUCGGUUCGGGAGGGGGGACAAAGGCGUCGGGGAUGUGGCUCCCUCGGGAGUGUUAUAGCCCGGCGUGCAAUGCCCCCGCCCGGACCGAGGUUCGCGCUCUGCAAGGACGCUGGCGUAAUGGUCACCAGCGGCCCGUCUUGAAACACGGACCAAGGAGUCGAGGUUCUGCGCGAGUGUUUGGGUGUCAAACCCGCACGCGUAAUGAAAGUGAACGUAGGUGGGAGCCUCGGCGCACCACCGACCGAUCCUGAUGUUCUCGGAUGGAUUUGAGUAGGAGCGUAGGGCCUCGGACCCGAAAGAUGGUGAACUAUGCUUGGAUAGGGUGAAGCCAGAGGAAACUCUGGUGGAGGCUCGCAGCGGUUCUGACGUGCAAAUCGAUCGUCAAAUCUGAGCAUGGGGGCGAAAGACUAAUCGAACCAUCUAGUAGCUGGUUACCGCCGAAGUUUCCCUCAGGAUAGCAGUGUUGUCUUCAGUUUUAUGAGGUAAAGCGAAUGAUUAGGGACUCGGGGGCGCUAUAUUGCCUUCAUCCAUUCUCAAACUUUAAAUAUGUAAGAAGCCCUUGUUGCUUAAUUGAACGUGGGCAUUCGAAUGCAUCAACACUAGUGGGCCAUUUUUGGUAAGCAGAACUGGCGAUGUGGGAUGAACCAUACGCGGGGUUAAGGUGCCGGAGUGGACGCUCAUCAGACACCACAAAAGGCGUUAGCACAUCUUGACAGCAGGACGGUGGCCAUGGAAGUCGGAAUCCGCUAAGGACUGUGUAACAACUCACCUGCCGAAUGUGCUAGCCCUGAAAAUGGAUGGCGCUCAAGCGUCCCACCCAUACCUCGCCCUCGGGGUAGAAACGAUGCCCCGAGGAGUAGGCGGCCGUGGGGGUCAGUGACGAAGCCCAGGGCGUGAGCCCGGGUCGAACGUCCCCUAGUGCAGAUCUUGGUGGUAGUAGCAAAUACUUCAAUGAGAACUUGAAGGACCGAAGUGGGGAAAGGUUCCAUGUGAACAGCGGUUGGACGUGGGUUAGUCGAUCCUGAGCCAUAGGGAAGUUCCGUUUCAAAGGGGCACUUGUGCCCCGUGUGGCGAAAGGGAAGCCGGUCAAUAUCCCGGCACCUGGAUGUGGGUUUUUCGCGGCAACGCAACCGAACGCGGAGACGGCGGCGGGGGCCCCGGGCAGAGUUCUCUUUUCUUCUUAACGGCCUGUCACCCUGGAAACAGUUUGUCUGGAGAUAGGGUUUAAUGACCGGAAGAGCCCGGCACUUCUGCUGGGUCCGGCGCGCCCCCGACGUCCCUUGAAAAUCCGCGGGAGGGAAUAAUUCUCACGCUAGGUCGUACUCAUAACCGCAGCAGGUCUCCAAGGUGA